Molecule: ribosomal RNA, 452 nt
Filed under: uncultured bacterium
Lineage: Bacteria
Description: bacterial SSU rRNA
Rfam family: Bacterial small subunit ribosomal RNA
Source: RNAcentral
GACGAACGCUGGCGGCGCGCCUAACACAUGCAAGUCGAACGAGAGAUGAGGAGCUUGCUCUUCAAAUCGAGUGGCGAACGGGUGAGUAACGCGUGAGGAACCUGCCUCAAAGAGGGGGACAACAGUUGGAAACGACUGCUAAUACCGCAUAAGCCCACGGCUCGGCAUCGAGCAGGGGGAAAAGGAGCAAUCCGCUUUGAGAUGGCCUCGCGUCCGAUUAGCUAGUUGGUGAGGUAACGGCCCACCAAGGCGACGAUCGGUAGCCGGACUGAGAGGUUGAACGGCCACAUUGGGACUGAGACACGGCCCAGACUCCUACGGGAGGCAGCAGUGGGGAAUAUUGCACAAUGGGGGAAACCCUGAUGCAGCGACGCCGCGUGGAGGAAGAAGGUCUUCGGAUUGUAAACUCCUGUUGUUGAGGAAGAUAAUGACGGUACUCAACAAGGAAGUGA